This 253-nucleotide ribosomal RNA is filed under the name uncultured bacterium. Its description in RNAcentral is "partial 16S ribosomal RNA". It matches the Rfam family "Bacterial small subunit ribosomal RNA", at positions 524 to 776 of the family's 1533-position model. The record is from RNAcentral.
UACGGAGGGGGCUAGCGUUGUUCGGAAUGACUGGGCGUAAAGCGCGCGUAGGCGGAUCAGAAAGUUGGGGGUGAAAUCCCGGGGCUCAACCUCGGAAUGGCCUUCAAAACUCCUGGUCUUGAGUUCGAGAGAGGUGAGUGGAAUUCCGAGUGUAGAGGUGAAAUUCGUAGAUAUUCGGAGGAACACCAGUGGCGAAGGCGGCUCACUGGCUCGAUACUGACGCUGAGGUGCGAAAGCGUGGGGAGCAAACAGG